CAGUAUCGCACAUUGCCUGGUCGUUCCUUGUGUCAGCAGUCGCAAUUUUUGAUCUGUCGGAAUCAUCAAAGCAGCAUUUGCUUUUUUCGCAACAACUCGAAAUGGCUCCAGUAAAAGUACAAGUUGAAUACUGCGGAGCUUGAGGGUACGCCCCUCGCUUUCAGUGUCUGAAGGAAGAUGUCCUGAAGUACUUUUCUGCAUCUGAGGUUGAUAUUGCUGGUCAUGUAGGGAGAUCGUCUUCCUAUGAGAUCCAAAUCAACGGUGAACUUGUUUUCUCCAAACUGAAGCAAGGCGGGUUCCCUUCCAGUGAGGAUGUCAUUGAGAGCAUCCGCAUGGCCCAAAAGGGUGAGGUCCGGCUGAUCACCGAGUCCAAGAGCUCUUGUGCCAUUCUGUAGCUGCCAGUGAGGGAUGUCACUCCUCAACGCAAAAGGAACCAGCACUUUGUUGCCUACCCAAGUCUUUGCCAUCAUGAGGCAGCCUGUCUUAUUGCUCCGAUGUAGCUCUAUUGACUUUUUAGCAAUAUCCCGCUUCUUCUGUGGACUUGUUUAGGUUAUUCAUUGGAGUACAUAAAAAUAUCACCAGCAGUGAGAAAGCAAAGAAAAUAUUUCAGCUAAAUAUUCAGAGUUCAGGCCUGUUCGACAAUGUGAACAGAAGUGGCCUGUCUGUGUUUUUUAAAUAGAAAUAAGCCUGUGAAUUUAGGUGGCAUGUUCCUGUUUGGGAAGAUGGUACAGGUACAUCUUUUUUCGCAUCUGCAUCAAAUUAUGUAAAUUUGAGGAUUUGCCUUUUAUUCAAGUUUGUUCCAUCCAAAUAAUGCCUCAGAUGUUGGGUUUCCUUUUGUGCUGACAGCUACAAUGAGGGAACUCUUCUAACAGCAAAGUUUCCUUGGCUUUCACAUAUUGCACCUGCAUUAUUCAGUCCCUAUGACAACACAUGCUCCAAACUUGUGGCGGGCAUAUGUUUGAUGUAUGACUGACAGGGUGCAGUUUGUCCUAGUUGAUGAAGCUACUGUUGUGGAGUUCUCUUUUCAUGUUGUCUUUUUCAGUCAUUAGAUUAUAUUUUUUCCUUAUAAAUAAAAGCUUGGAUUUAACUUUUGACUUUUACUUUUAGUUAGUAUUUUUUUAAUGACUCAUUUGUUUUGUUGUUGUUUUUUAUCUAUUGCCUUUAGGAGUUAAGGACAGCAUCACUUGGUUUAUUGAUUCUUUCAGUCCCCAUUCUAAUCAACAACCUCUUCCUUACAAGCUUGACAUUUUUGUCUCAUUUGCGUUCCACCCUAUUGUCACUGAUGAAAUGUUUAGACGCAAAGCAGCACUUUCGAAAGUCUUCUUGUUUGCCAAUUCUUGUGCUUCACUUGCCUUUUCUUAACUUAAAGUACAGUAAUGUCAUAAAAUGAAUCACUCAUAGUCAUAGUGUAGCUGUGCUCUCCUUGACAUUAUUGAGAAUAGAGACCUUUUUUUUUGCAGUACAGCAAUGAUCAGUUUGGCAUGGAAACACUUCUCUUGUCACAUAUAUAUAUAGACUUUGAUUUGUUCACUCAAGUCCCUUUAUUAUAUCAUUAAAUCAGUACUGUACAUCAAUUAUUCACGGAGGAUUAUGUAGUAUUUUUUAGUAUAAAAAAUCUUCAGACAUUACAUGCUAAAGUUCAGAGUUUUAUAUUCAGUAUUGUGUUAUCUCAAAGGUGAACUGUUCUAGUUUUGAUAUCGAUUUAUUGGUGUGCUCAAGUUAUAUCUUUCAUUUGCAUUUCGAAUGCUCAUUUUUCUGCCCUGAGUCUGAGAUCACGUUAUACAAGUACAUGUUGAUAUUGCUAAAUUAUAAAUUAAACUCUGUUCCCAACACAAGUCAGUGGGGACAAUCCGAGUGAGCUUUGCCAUCACUCAAAGUCUUAUGUCACAAGUGGUAGCAAUAGAAUCUGAUGCUGUUAUAAACUUUUGAGAAACGUGGUACCUCAUAAAUAUUUAAAAUGUUAUUGCUUCUUUGAGGUUGAAUCCAGGCCUAACGCAAGUUUACAGAUAUAUUUAGGUCCAGUCUAGGUCUGUACAAUGUGAUGAAAAGAAUUUAUAAAUCAUGUUCUGUUUUGCUUCAAUGAAAUUAUUAUUGACGUUUAUAUAAUUUAUAAGCAAUAAAGUACCUUUUUCGCCAAGUAUC
Molecule: long non-coding RNA, 2142 nt
Organism: Aplysia californica (California sea hare)
Lineage: Eukaryota; Metazoa; Mollusca; Gastropoda; Aplysiida; Aplysiidae
Exons: 4
Source: RefSeq, a predicted model, not a curated record